GAUGAACGCUGGCGGCGUGCCUAAUACAUGCAAGUCGAGCGAACAGACGAGGCGCUUGCUCCUCUGACGUUAGCGGCGGACGGGUGAGUAACACGUGGAUAACCUACCUAUAAGACUGGGAUAACUUCGGGAAACCGGAGCUAAUACCGGAUAAUAUAUUGAACCGCAUGGUUCAAUAGUGAAAGACGGUUUUGCUGUCACUUAUAGAUGGAUCCGCGCCGCAUUAGCUAGUUGGUAAGGUAACGGCUUACCAAGGCGACGAUGCGUAGCCGACCUGAGAGGGGGAUCGGCCACACUGGAACGGAGACGCGGUCCAGGCUCCUAAGGGAGGCAGCAGUAGGGAAUCUGCCGCAAUGGGCGAAAGCCUGACGGAGCAACGCCGCGUGAGUGAUGAAGGUCUUCGGAUCGUAAAACUCUGUUAUUAGGGAAGAACAAAUGUGUAAGUAACUAUGCACGUCUUGACGGUACCUAAUCAGAAAGCCACGGCUAACUACGUG
This 497-nucleotide ribosomal RNA is filed under the name uncultured bacterium. RNAcentral describes it as "partial 16S ribosomal RNA". It matches the Rfam family "Bacterial small subunit ribosomal RNA", at positions 28 to 507 of the family's 1533-position model. The record is from RNAcentral.